AUUAAUUUGAGUCAUAUCUUGAAAGUUUUGGUGGUUUACUGAACCAAAUUGGAGAAUUUCAUCAUGUUCUUGUAGACCCUGAAAAAGAUGGUAUGGGAAAGAGUUGACCCGGGACCCAGUGAAACCAGCUAGUUAUUAAUAUGUUGACUUAAUUUAGGAUGUUCACAUUUACUUGAACAGUUUUUGAAUAAAUGAGGUCAUUGUUGUAA
This is a long non-coding RNA of Helicoverpa zea (corn earworm), 209 nucleotides long. RefSeq lists it as uncharacterized. The record is from RefSeq and is a predicted model, not a curated record. NCBI's taxonomy places the organism in Eukaryota, Metazoa, Arthropoda, Insecta, Lepidoptera, Noctuidae. The transcript is spliced from 2 exons.